GUUGUCGCUUUGCUCUUUUUCUCUCCUGCCACCAUGUAAGACGGCCUCACUUCCCCUUUGCCUUUCACCAUGACUGUAAAUUUCCUGAUGCCUCCCCAGCCACGUGGAACUGUAUAACUACAAUGAUCCUUUGCUUGAGUUUGAUCUCCACCUGGACUUGAAUCUGUAAUGAGUCAUCAGCCAGAGUCUAUGUUUCCAUCUCAGGUGCGGUGGCUAACGCCUGUAAUCCCAGCACUUUCGGAGGCCGAGCUGGGUGGAUCACGACGUCAGGAGUUCAAGACCAGCCUGGCCAAGAUGGUGAAACCCCAUCUCUACUGAAAAUACAAAAAUUAGCCAGGCGCACUGGCACACGCCUGUAAUCCCAGCUACUCGGGAGGCUGAGGCAGGGAAUUGCUUGAACCAGGGAGGUGGAGGUUACAGUGAGCCCAGAUCAUGCCACUGCACUCCAGCCUGGGCAACGGAGCGAGACUCUGUCUCACAAAAAAUAAAUAAAUAAAAGAAAAGAAAAAUAAAUAAAUAAAAAAUAAAAUCUGUAAGUUGGCAUUUU
RNAcentral lists this long non-coding RNA (547 nucleotides) under Homo sapiens (human). RNAcentral's name for it is "LHRI_LNC1214.2". The record is from RNAcentral. Lineage: Eukaryota; Metazoa; Chordata; Mammalia; Primates; Hominidae.